AUUUCACAGUUUGUGUUUUGCAUAAAUUAGCUGCAUAAAUCAGGCUUCAAAUUAAUUAAAUAAGUCAUUGUAAAUUUUAAAUGUAUGUAAAUUUGAUAUCUUAACUGUUUUUAUAUUUAUUUUGAUAGUAUCUGUAUCUGGAUGUGUUUCUGUAUGUGGUUAAGUGAUUUAAAAAAUGUUGAAAACAUAAAAGGUUCAUUCAGUAGUUCAGUGCAGUUGGAAGCAAAAUGGCGCCAUGUUCUGAGUUGAUGCCACUCUCAAUUAAGCCACACUACUCCAGACCACAGUGGUGCAUGCUGUGAAAACCCUAACACAUUAUCAAUAAGCAAACCGCUCCAAAAGUGCUAAAAAAAAAAAAAUGUGGCUCUCACACUGACAGACUGGUGCAUCGUUGACUUGGAGAUGACUGUCCACUUUUACACAUGC
Molecule: long non-coding RNA, 426 nt
Organism: Thalassophryne amazonica
Lineage: Eukaryota; Metazoa; Chordata; Actinopteri; Batrachoidiformes; Batrachoididae
Exons: 2
Source: RefSeq, a predicted model, not a curated record